CUCCAGACUUGCUUAAAAAGUUGAGUACGGAUUGUCUCAUCAUGCAAAACCAUCAUUACGGCAUCUCGCCAGAACGGCUUCAAGAGAACCAGGAUCUAUCUAGUUUCUUCAAGAUCUUGACUACUAGUGCAGAUGCAGAUGACAAAGUUUAUGUCUCCACUGUAGAAGCACACAACUAUCCUGUGACUGCUUUCCAAUGGCAUCCAGAGAAAAAUGCUUUUGAAUGGGGCUUAUCUAUGAUUCCACACUCUGAGGAUGCCAUUCAAGUGACGCAACAUGUUGCAAACUUCUUCGUCAGUGAGGCUAGGAAGUCUUUGAACAGGCCACCUGCUCGUAAAGUGCUUGA
Molecule: unclassified non-coding RNA, 346 nt
Filed under: Hevea brasiliensis (rubber tree)
Lineage: Eukaryota; Viridiplantae; Streptophyta; Magnoliopsida; Malpighiales; Euphorbiaceae
Source: RNAcentral